RNAcentral lists this long non-coding RNA (461 nucleotides) under Lathyrus oleraceus (garden pea). RNAcentral describes it as "Pisum sativum (pea) long non-coding RNA (PSAT_LNC021871)". The record is from RNAcentral. Lineage: Eukaryota; Viridiplantae; Streptophyta; Magnoliopsida; Fabales; Fabaceae.
UUUUGUUUUGUUUUUGUUUUCUUUCUAUAAAAAAAUUGCAUUUUUGUUGAAAGUUUUAGGCUAUAGGUUACUUUGAGUCGAGUUUGCGGAGACUUGGGAAAAAUUCACAAGAGGUAUUGUUUUAACACCGUAAGUCUCCUGCAUAUGGAAAUUGAUUUGAAUUUUUAUUAUGUUUUAGCCUUACAUUCUCAUCCUCUGACAACUCUUGAGUAGUUUAUUUCAGCAGUCAGCACCAUCUCACACACACUCUACACAGGGAAGCCGAUGAAUAUAAGUGAGUGUUCCAAAAAAGAAAAAUAAAAGAAAAAUAAAAGGGAAUGCACCUUCUAAGUUUGGUGACCCUCACCCAGUCACUUAACCCAACAGAUGUAGAACCUUCAAAAAAAAAUUGAAAAUAAGACUCGUUGUCAGUUGGUUCAGCGGUUUCUGGUGCUGGACUUGGUAAGGCAGAUUAGGGUCUG